GUUUAUCUCAGAGGAGUGGAUCUGAGAACACAAGGCUGGUUUGCACUGCUAUAUUAUGAUCGAUUGGUAUAAGGUGAAUUUACUUUGUGUUCUCAGGUCACCCCUUUGAGCCAACC
This is a non-coding RNA of Glycine soja, 116 nucleotides long. The record is from Rfam. Lineage: Eukaryota; Viridiplantae; Streptophyta; Magnoliopsida; Fabales; Fabaceae.